RNAcentral lists this ribosomal RNA (467 nucleotides) under uncultured bacterium. RNAcentral's name for it is "partial 16S ribosomal RNA". It matches the Rfam family "Bacterial small subunit ribosomal RNA", at positions 28 to 507 of the family's 1533-position model. The record is from RNAcentral.
GACGAACGCUGGCGGCGUGCUUAACACAUGCAAGUCGAACGGAAAGGCCCUGCUUUUGUGGGGUGCUCGAGUGGCGAACGGGUGAGUAACACGUGAGUAACCUGCCCUUGACUUUGGGAUAACUUCAGGAAACUGGGGCUAAUACCGGAUAGGAGCUCCUGCUGCAUGGUGGGGGUUGGAAAGUUUCGGCGGUUGGGGAUGGACUCGCGGCUUAUCAGCUUGUUGGUGGGGUAGUGGCUUACCAAGGCUUUGACGGGUAGCCGGCCUGAGAGGGUGACCGGCCACAUUGGGCCUGAGAUACGGCCCAGACCCUACGGGAGGCAGCAGUGGGGAAUAUUGCACAAUGGGCGGAAGCCUGAUGCAGCAACGCCGCGUGCGGGAUGACGGCCUUCGGGUUGUAAACCGCUUUCGCCUGUGACGAAGCGUGAGUGACGGUAAUGGGUAAAGAAGCACCGGCUAACUACGUG